This 1529-nucleotide long non-coding RNA is filed under the name Pan troglodytes (chimpanzee). Its description in RNAcentral is "lncRNA (ENSPTRG00000054101.1)". The record is from RNAcentral. Lineage: Eukaryota; Metazoa; Chordata; Mammalia; Primates; Hominidae.
CUUGAAGUGUAUAAUAAAAGCAUGUUGCCUUAAAUAUAUUUGCAAGCACAUGCACAAACUUAUACUACUAAAUGGAUAAAUGUAAUAAAUUUUCCUACAGAGCAGGGCAUAUCUAUCUACAACAAUCAAUUUUAUCUUUCUCUCUCUCUCUUCUAAAAUGUAACACGAACAGUUUCAACAGACGAUUUACAAAGAAUGUUGUCCUCUUCUGAGGAUUCAAAGAUGAAUAAGACCAAGUUUUCAUGCAGAAAGAGAUGGCUAUUAUAAGUGAAUACUGAUAAUGUCACAUUUAAAAAAUAUUGACAGGCCAGGCACGGUGGUUCACGCCUGUAAUCCCAGCACUUUUCGGGGCUGAGGCGGGCAGAUCACGAAGUCAGGAGUUUGAGACCAGCCUGACCAGCAUAGUGAAACCCCGUCUCUACUAAAAAAUAGAAAAAUUAGCCGGGCAUGGUGGCACGCGCCUGUAAUCUCAGCUACUCAGGAGGCUGAGGCAGGAGAAUCACUUGAACCCGGAAGUCACGGAGGUUGCAGAGAGCUGAGCUCGUGCCACUGCACCCCAGCCUGGGUGACAGAGUGAGACUGUCUAAAAAAAAAGAAAAAAAAAAAAGUGUUGACAAUAUAAAUUUGAUACAUAAAAAUAUUCAGUGUAAAAAAAGAUGCCACUAGGAUUUGAAUAAGAUUUUGUAGGAAUAGUAUCAUAGGGUAGAAAAUUUGGAGGAAAUUCAUGAACAAGUUACAUGUCUUAUGUGUCUUCAUAAGUAAGUAGGACAGCUUAUUGACAGUCAACGAGAAACAAAGGUGUUGAAAGUGGAAAUGUUUGUUGAGGAGACUUUAAAGGGUCCAAUCCUCUUCUGCCAGAAGCACUCUCUAUCUUUUGCUGAACAUGAAGACUUCUGGGAAAGAGGAUAUAAUAGCAAGGCUUCUUAUUCUUACUACAUUCCAAUACAUUUAUUUUUCUAUGCACGACACGUCAUCAGGUAAGAAAACAGGUUGCAAUCACUUGGUUGCCUUUUUAUUUAUUUGUUUACUUACAUUCCAGCAGCAUUAAAGCUUCUGAGGGCUGACAGAUUUCCCAAAUUUCUCUAAUGAAAUGCCACUGGUUUCUAUGUAAAAGACAGACGGUAUAUGGUUCUCAAAGUUCUUUUUCCUUCAUAAACACAACUUUACAAAUACCUGCUGUGGCAGCUAAGCAACUUACUCUAUGGUAGUCAGAUAUCUAUCCCUUAGAUUAUCUAUUUCAUAUAAAUGACAGGGGAACAAUAGGGUUGCUGGAGACAUGUUAUAAAAUGGCCACCUUUAAAUAAACCCAACAGACAUUAAAGCUGGCAUUUGUAUGAAUUUAGAAGGUAGUAUAUUUAUUUAGGGAUUUUCAUAAUCUGAUUUAUUUGAUUGUUCACAACAGUUUCAACUCAAAAGAGAAAGUGUUGCUUAAUAACUUAUAUUUGACAAAGAAUGUUAAUGGAUGGGAUAAGAUAAAUUUGGUGAGUUAAUACAUUAAUUUUGGCACGGAAGAUUUCUUUGCCAUAGCC